GACAGAGGUUGCAAACGUUGUUCGGAAUUACUGGGCAUAAAGCGCACGUAGGCGGUUCGUUAAGUCAUGUGUGAAAUCCCCCGGCUCAACCGGGGAAUUGCGCCUGAUACUGGCGGGCUAGAGAUCGACAGGGGUGAGUGGAACUCCAGGUGGAGCGGUGAAAUGCGUAGAUAUCUGGAGGAACACCGGUGGCGAAAGCGGCUCACUGGAUCGAUACUGACGCUGAGGUGCGAAAGCUAGGGUAGCAAAC
RNAcentral lists this ribosomal RNA (250 nucleotides) under uncultured bacterium. Its description in RNAcentral is "partial 16S ribosomal RNA". It matches the Rfam family "Bacterial small subunit ribosomal RNA", at positions 524 to 773 of the family's 1533-position model. The record is from RNAcentral.